CCGCGGUAACCCGUGCGAAGGUAGCGUAAUCAUUUGCCCCUUAAUUGAGGGCCAGUAUGAAUGGAUUAACGAGAAAGAAGCUGUCUCCAACUAGGCAUGUAAAACCUAUCCUUUAGGUGAAAAGACCUAAAUCACCAUAGAAGACAAAAAGACCCUGUCGCGCUUUACCUUGAAUAAUCACAAAUUAGAUUAAAAGAGGGUUGGUUGGGGCGACCCCAGAUAACACAUAAACAUCUAUAUAAAUCAAGACAAACCAGUCUAAUCACUUGACCCUAUUAAGAUUAAAGAACAAGUCACCGCAGGGAUAACAGGCUAAUCCCCUCUUAGAGCCCAAAUCGACGAGGGGGGUUGGCACCUCGAUGUUGGCUUAGGGUAUCCUUUAGGUUGCUGCCGUCUAAAAUGGAAGGUUUGUUCAACCUACUCCACCCU
This 429-nucleotide ribosomal RNA is filed under the name Arhynchite sp. RG-2015-1. Its description in RNAcentral is "partial 16S rRNA". It matches the Rfam family "Bacterial large subunit ribosomal RNA", at positions 1931 to 2597 of the family's 2925-position model. Lineage: Eukaryota; Metazoa; Annelida; Polychaeta; Echiuroidea; Thalassematidae. The record is from RNAcentral.